Molecule: ribosomal RNA, 473 nt
Filed under: uncultured Fusibacter sp.
Lineage: Bacteria; Bacillati; Bacillota; Clostridia; Eubacteriales; Fusibacteraceae
Description: bacterial SSU rRNA
Rfam family: Bacterial small subunit ribosomal RNA
Source: RNAcentral
UUGACGGGGCCCGCACAAGCGGUGAGCAUGUGGUUUAAUUCGACGAUACGCGAAGAACCUUACCCGGGUUUGACAUUGUAUCGAAGCAUCCAGAGAUGGAUGUGUCUCUUCGGAGACGGUAUGACAGGUGCUGCAUGGCUGUCGUCAGCUCGUGCCGUGAGGUGUUGGGUUAAGUCCCGCAACGAGCGCAACCCUUGUGUUUUAGUUGCAAACAGGUCAGGCUGUGCACUCUAGACAGACUGCCGUGGACAACACGGAGGAAGGUGGGGAUGACGUCAAAUCAUCAUGCCCCUUAUGAUCUGGGCUACACACGUGCUACAAUGGCCGGUACAACGGGCAGCGAAGGAGCGAUCCGGAGCGAAUCCUAAAAAGCCGGUCCCAGUUCGGAUUGCAGGCUGAAACUCGCCUACAUGAAGUUGGAGUUGCUAGUAAUCGCGAAUCAGAAUGUCGCGGUGAAUGCGUUCCCGGGUCUU